Long non-coding RNA from Numida meleagris (helmeted guineafowl), 6054 nucleotides. RefSeq lists it as uncharacterized. The record is from RefSeq and is a predicted model, not a curated record. Lineage: Eukaryota; Metazoa; Chordata; Aves; Galliformes; Numididae. The transcript is spliced from 5 exons.
CGCCGAGGGCUCCGCAGCCGCCGCUCCCCGCCCGAGGGGAGGUUUUCCCGCCCAGCGCUCUGUGGGGGCUCUGAGGGCGGAACCGUUGGCGCCCCCCGCGCGCGGGCCUCGCGCCGGCAGGAGGCGGGAAGGCCGCCCCCGGUAGCGAUGCGCGACGGGCACCGGGAAACGUAGGGUCGGCCCCAACAGCGCGGAGGGAAAAGGCGUCCCGAAAAGGUGAAGCUUACCCUCUGGGGACUUCCAUGAACCCAGGCAGGACAAACUGCAAAGAAAUCCUCCAGCAAAAGGAAAAGGGUUUCUUGAGGAUACAGUUUUACCUCCAGUAAUGAUUUAUUUGGAUCCAGCUGGGUCACCUGUAAAGACAAGAAUGAACAGAUAAGUAUUUCAAUGGAUGUCUGUGACACACAUAGCAGAAGGGGCUUGUCAACUUACACUGCAUUUUUAAGAGGCUGUAUGCCACGAAGCCUAAGAAAUUCCAGAGGUCCUCCUGCAUUGUUGAUGGAAGCAUUUAGGCCAUCCUCUAACUGCAGAGCACAAUUGCAGGAAAGGAGUGGAAAAAAGCAACUGAUCCGAAGCAGGAAAAGACCAACAGACUGCAGUUUAGGAGAACAUUCACGAGUGCUGCUCCUCUUGAGUUUCCUUUGUGGCUGUCAGAUACGACAUUUAAAGAAGAAAAGAAAAAAAGGUGCUGGAAGCUAGAACUGCUAUAUCAUCAUGGCAAAAUAAUAAUAAUUUCAAAACCCUGAUAUUUGACAGCAGAGAAGCAGAAAAGGAAGACAGGGCCUACAGAUAUAAAGCUCCUUACUGCAAAGUUAUAAAAAUAGCCAGUAAAUCCCUGCCCAGUACAGACAGACACACUAGCAUAUCUUUGCCAAUAGUUGUAGUAGUGAAAAGGUGAACUGAUGUAUGUUACUGUUUUGGAGUGGUUUCUUUCCAUUUACGUAUUUUUUACAUCUCCAUCCAGACAUUAAUUAGGAAAGACAUUUUUUCUCAUGCUGCAGCUUCUAGGAAGAAGGGAUGUCAACUAAGAUCAGACAGCAAAAAUUCUGACUUUGCAGGUCUCCAUUUUUCUACAGUUUAUCUUCAGCAAGCCUGUUUACAUCAGUUUUUCCAGUUUAAAUAUUCUUAAAUCUCUCUUUUACGGAGUGUGUCAACAGCCAUAGUUUGAAGCAAAUUGAAGUUUUUAUUUGGAUUUGUAAAAGUACAAUUUUUCAAGCCGUUGUAGGUAUUUAAAUUCCACCUUGAAGUCUAACUUGAGAGCAGGAGUGCUAGUGUAGCAUAACUACAAUAAAUACGAUGAGAGACCUACUGUUACUUAAAAGUGGACAAGUUGGACCAGCUGUGUAACAGUCAAUGCUUUUACAGUAAUAAAUGUUGACAGCAAAAAUAAAAAGAAUGCAUUACUGAGACAUCAUCAAAUGAGCCUUGUCACUACAUGGAAACUCCACCCUGUAUAAGCUUGUCAAAAAGUGUUACUGUAAUCCUUUGAGAAGCCUCCUCCUCAGGCAACAGAGAAAAAUGCUUAGGAUCAGCCCAGAACAGGUGUGUUGUACUGUAAUGCCAGUGUUUAAUCACAGAUCUCUUCACAUUAAUCUCACAAAGGAACUAACUUGGAUCUAUGUGGGCCCAUCAUGCAAUGCUGAGAUGAUUAUUUAACUAUCAAAUUAGAGAAAGAAAGCAAACAGAAUAUUUACAAAUGGACAUUCCAGGGUGUACAAUAUUUUACAAUUAUAAUUUUCUUGUCAAAGUCCAGCAGCAGGUACUGACACUUAAGAGGAACUGAUACCAUGCACUCCUUUCAAAGUCAAUCCCUGAUAAAUAUCAGUUCACACCUUGAUCAACAUUGGCAGAGGCCAGUUCUCUGCUUUGAUACCCUCUUUCACUUACAGAAGAAACUCUUCAGUGGAAUUUAUUUCCUCUUUGAAAAAAUCCCCAACCCUGCUGCCCAAACAAUAGUUAAUGUAUAAACAUUUGUAGUGCGGACCAGAGGAGUAGGCAUGGUUACAAAAGCAAAGUAUUUCCAUUGGACGUAUAAAAUCAUUUGUGCAGCCUUUUAUACCACUAGGAGCCUGAAACUCACAGGACUAACUAUUUCCCUGGGAGCAGGUAAACCACUGUUACUUUAUAUUAAAUGCAUCUAUUAACUUAUCAGAAUCAUUUUGCAUACGCAGCUUGAGGCUGGAUCAGCAGACCCUAGACCUGAGCACCUUGACAAUGGGGGGACCAUAUCCGGCCAGCCGGCCUUGCUGCGGUUGUUGCCAUUGACUCUACCACUGAACCAUCUAUUGGCCACUUCUUACCAAAAGCGCCACAGUAGUACAACAUCAGUGUGUUGUUGAUCAUGUUCUUAUUUGUAGCUUUUUACUAUGGCAAUUUAAGUAACAAACUUAUAAAAACAGACAGUGUGACAGCUAGACCAUGUGUCUGGCACAUCAACAGCGUGGCCCAAAAGAGGGAGUGGGUUUCUGAAAUGUCGUCUGGUCCACACAGCUGUCACACAGCAAGCAACAGGCUCAGUGGUAUGUGAACGGCUCAGGAGCCCUGGAGAGAAAAGGGAGAAGGGAUGCCAGAUUUGUCCUACUUUAAGACAGCUUGGGAGAGAGAACAGGUGCCUAAAUUUUGCACCACUUGCACCUCAAGACAAGCAAGCUGGAUUACUCUGACUAUGUGUACACGUCUCAGUAUUUUUUAACAUAUUUCUUUGGAGACUAUGUAAGAAAAAGCUUAACCAAACACUACAGAUAAAUCUUUAAAUCUAAUCAGUGGUUAAAUGAUGGAAUGACACCAUGGAAAUAUGUCCCAUUUUGCCUAAUUAAAAUUGUAUGAGGCUAAAUCAGUAAAUUUUAUUAAUACAUGGAUGCAAAAGCACAGGAUUUAGCCAGCCAUACGAUUACCUCCAGCAACAAAACGACUCACGUUGCUCAGGUGAGGUGCGUUGGUGAUGGUGUUCUGAGCAUCCAGCCUACAAUACCUUGAUGAUCCACAAGCCAGUGACGCCUCAACAGCUACAACCAGCAUCACAACAAACACCUGUACCAUUCGAAGGCUGUGGUAAUAGUCAUCCUGUACUGAAAUAACCAUCAGAGGGCACUGCAAAACAUGCUGUGCUAAACUGAAUUAUGCAAUAGCUGUGUUUGAAGCUUUCAUGGGCAUGCAAGUUAAAAAUCCAAAAUGGAGAAGUUCAGCUGCAUAAACUGACUCACUAAUGCUGACAGGGUGUUAUUUAUUUAAAAGUGUUUUCAGUUCCAUUUUUCUCUUCACACACUUCUGUUUACAGCAGAGCUAUACAGGUGACUUCUCCUUUUAAAGCACAAAAGAAUUCUCAGCUUAUCUUCUUGUGGUUUUACCAUGACUUACUGUUGCUAUUAAGAAAACAGUAACAGAAACCGGACCUGUAUCCUGUUUGCUAUUGCCAUAUUUGGGAAAAACAUGCACCAACUGCAGUAAGACCUUAAAAAACAAAAGGUGAUGAUAUUUGAAUGCUGUAAGCUGUCAAGUACAAGAAAGCUACAUGUUAUGUAGCAAACCACAAACACUUUUUUUUUUUUCAGGUGAAAGCCUUCCACUGAGUACAGUCUGCUCGCCAAAUUCUCCUCUCUCUAGAAUACCUAUUAGUCAUUCCUCAUCUUUAAGUUCCCUGUUUCAAAGGCAGAAGUUUCUGAGGUCAACUUUCCUGCAUGCUUGUAACAAGUGAAGCCAAGUUACAAGUAAAUAUUUUAUUUGUGUAUAGAACCCACAGCAUCUGAAAAUCUGCUGCCCCUUAAGUUCAUAAAAUUUUCCAUUCGUCUUCUGAACGUCAAGGUGUAUCAGGAAAAACAAAAUAAAACAAUAAAACUAAACUAAAUCUCCCACUGGGAAAGAAAUGUCUAUGGUCUCUCAGUGACAAGAACACAAAAGGAAAUGUGAGAAAAGACAACAGAAGUCUUAGACAAAGAUAGACUUUAGAGGAAUAUCUAAUAAUCAUCUUUCUGUUCUCCCUAUGUAGGUAGAGCAUUUAGAAUAACAAGUCAUGAGAAUCACAGAAUUGUAGGGGUUGGAAGGGACCUUCUCCAGAGAAGGAGACAAGGAGACUCCAUCACCUCUCCGGGCAGUCUGUUUCAGUUUCUGUCACCCUCAAAGUAAAGAAGUUUUUCCUCAUGUUCGUAUGGAACUUCCUGUCUUCCAGUUGGCGCCUGUUGUCCCUUGUCCUGUCACUGGGCACCACUGAAAAGUAUCUGACUCCAUCCUUUUGACUCCCGUCCUUUGGACACUUAUAAGCACUGUUAAAAUCCUCUCUCAGUCUUCUCCAGGCUGAACAGUCCCAGGCCUCACAGCCUUUCCUCACACUGGAGAUGCUCCAGCCCCUCACCAUAUUUGUGGCCCACUGAUGGGCUCUCUCUAGAAGUUUCUAGUCUUUCUUGAACUUAAGAGCCAAGAACUGGACCCAGCACCCAAACGUAGCCUCAUCAGGGUGGAGUAAAGGAGGAAGAUCACCUCCCUUGACCUGCUGGCCAUGCUCUUUUUAAUACCCCCAAGGAUAGCACUGGCCUUCUUGGCCACAAGGGCACACUACUGGCUCACGGCUGACCUGCUGUCCACCAGGUCCUUCUCCAUAGAGAGAAGUACCCAUCACACUGGGGACAUGUAUUACAGGCUGUCACUGUUCUUGGUCAUCCAUGGAAGGGCUCCCAGAAACUCAAGAUGCAGAAGCCAGUUGCCGGUUCUGCAAUAAGAGCCUCAAGGCUACCAAGCUUUCUCUUUCUUUAAGCUUUGUCUCCCUCAUGCCCAGAUCAUUCUCAGUUGCAAACCCAUCUGAUUUUAUCCAGGAUGGGUUUAUAACUAUCUCACUUGACCCUCACCUUUUUCUCUCCUCCACACUGAUCUUCCCUGCUCUGGACAAUUCUUCUGGUCUCCUGUUCCUCCUCCUGUUCCACUCCAGUUUCUAUACACUUCUUCACACCUACUUCCUUCUCCUAUCUCUUAUCUGUUCUUAAACCCCUGCCUUAGUACGCCCUCCUUUCCCUCUGUUUCCUUCCUUUCUGCCAGCACUUUUUAGUUUCCAGUUCUGAGUCUUUUUUUAGAACUCAUCUGUGAUGUGAAUUUUACCUUCUUAUUAAAGCAUUAAAAAAUAAAUCUAUACCCAACAUACUGCUGCUAAAAUGUAAUAAAAGAAUUCAAUUAUAUAAUGUCUUGGAUUUUUGUUGUAAUUCUCAUAUUAAAAGUCAUGUUCAGUAUUAACAAAAUCAGAGUCAAAAAUCAAUUUUCUUUACCGAUGAACUACAGGUAGCAUAAAUAAAGAAGAAAAAAUGAAUUACAAAUAUCAUGCAGGUACCGUGCCUUCAUAUUUUUAUAACCAUAAUCAGUAAAUUUUAUACUAAUAAGAUACAAGAUGUAAAAGUGAAGAAUGUGUUUAGUCAAUUAUUGUCAGUCAAUAUCUAUACAACAGGAUAAGAAUAAUCUUGAAUGGCAACACACCAAUUAUUAUAAAUUCCUAAGUAUUUCAUUACUUUCAAAUGUCACUCAAUUUACAGAGUCACAGAUAAACACCUCUUAAUUGUACACCUCACUGUGUCUACCUCUUCGCAAUUGAAACACUGUUUUUGAAAAGUUGUGUCAUCAUGUCCCCAUUCUGCAUUGUUCUGAACAGUGAUUCUGUACCAGCAUAGUUCUGGUUUUCAAGAUUGCUUUUAAUCUCCCUUUAAACAAAUACACUUUAGACAUAUAAAUCUAUUUUUCCUUUCUACUUACAGCUUAAUCUGGUAAUUGCAAAAAAAACCUGAUUACUGCUCCCUGGUAUGAGCAUAUUCCACUGCAAAAGCAAACAGUUACUCAUGACUAAUAAUCACUAAAAGGAAACAAACAUGAAAAUAACAGUAAACCAAUAAGGAGGAGAUUUUCUUUUUGAAAGAGAGAUCUAACUACAUACACAAAAGAGAUUUAUUGUUUUUAUCUCAGGUAUUGGAAGAGGCACGUUAAAAUGUGCCAUACCCACCUUCAUUGGCUAAAGAGACAUUUGGUUAUGUUUGCAUCCCCAGUGAUUUGUGGAAGCCAGUAGGCAUCUGCAAUAACUUUCAA